Molecule: ribosomal RNA, 222 nt
Filed under: uncultured Lactobacillus sp.
Lineage: Bacteria; Bacillati; Bacillota; Bacilli; Lactobacillales; Lactobacillaceae
Description: partial 16S ribosomal RNA
Rfam family: Bacterial small subunit ribosomal RNA
Source: RNAcentral
UGGAUAACACCUGGAAACAGAUGCUAAUACCGGAUAACAACAGAUGAUGCCUAUCAACUGUUUAAAAGAUGGUUCUGCUAUCACUCUUGGAUGGACCUGCGGUGCAUUAGCUAGUUGGUAGGGUAACGGCCUACCAAGGCGAUGAUGCAUAGCCGAGUUGAGAGACUGAUCGGCCACAUUGGGACUGAGACACGGCCCAAACUCCUACGGGAGGCAGCAGCU